GAUGAACGCUGGCGGUCUGCUUAACACAUGCAAGUCGAACGAACUCUUCGGAGUGAGUGGCGGACGGGUGAGUAACGCGUGAGAAUCUGCCUGUGGGUCGGGGACAACCACUGGAAACGGUGGCUAAUACCGGAUGAGCCGAAAGGUAAAAAAUUUAUUGCCCACAGAUGAGCUCGCGUCUGAUUAGCUAGUUGGUAAGGUAAAAGCGUACCAAGGCGACGAUCAGUAGCUGGUCUGAGAGGAUGAGCAGCCACACUGGGACUGAGACACGGCCCAGACUCCUACGGGAGGCAGCAGUGGGGAAUUUUCCGCAAUGGGCGAAAGCCUGACGGAGCAAGACCGCGUGGGGGGAGGAAGGUUUUUGGAUCGUAAACCCCUUUUGUCAAGGAAGAAGUUCUGACGGUACUUGACGAAUAAGCCUCGGCUAACUCCGUGCCAGCAGCCGCGGUAAUACGGAGGAGGCAAGCGUUAUCCGGAAUGAUUGGGCGUAAAGCGUCUGUAGGUGGCCAGCUAAGUCUGCUGUUAAAGAUCACAGCUCA
RNAcentral lists this ribosomal RNA (539 nucleotides) under uncultured bacterium. Its description in RNAcentral is "bacterial SSU rRNA". It matches the Rfam family "Bacterial small subunit ribosomal RNA", at positions 28 to 611 of the family's 1533-position model. The record is from RNAcentral.